RNAcentral lists this ribosomal RNA (496 nucleotides) under uncultured bacterium. RNAcentral's name for it is "partial 16S ribosomal RNA". It matches the Rfam family "Bacterial small subunit ribosomal RNA", at positions 28 to 506 of the family's 1533-position model. The record is from RNAcentral.
GAUGAACGCUGGCGGCGUGCCUAAUACAUGCAAGUCGAGCGAACAGACGAGGAGCUUGCUCCUCUGACGUUAGCGGCGGACGGGUGAGUAACACGUGGAUAACCUACCUAUAAGACUGGGAUAACUUCGGGAAACCGGAGCUAAUACCGGAUAAUAUAUUGAACCGCAUGGUUCAAUAGUGAAAGACGGUUUUGCUGUCACUUAUAGAUGGAUCCGCGCCGCAUUAGCUAGUUGGUAAGGUAACGGCUUACCAAGGCGACGAUGCGUAGCCGACCUGAGAGGGUGAUCGGCCACACUGGAACUAGGACACGGUCCAGACUCCUACGGGAGGCAGCAGUAGGGAAUCUUCCGCAAUGGGCGAAAGCCUGACGGAGCAACGCCGCGUGAGUGAUGAAGGUCUUCGGAUCGUAAAACUCUGUUAUUAGGGAAGAACAAAUGUGUAAGUAACUAUGCACGUCUUGACGGUACCUAAGCAGAAAGCCACGGCUAACUACGU